GAGGGUACAGCUCAAGUGGUAGAGUGCUUGCUUAGCAUGCAUGAGGUCCUGGGUUUAAUUCCCAGUACCUCCU
RNAcentral lists this transfer RNA (73 nucleotides) under Camelus bactrianus (Bactrian camel). It matches the Rfam family "tRNA". Rfam says of the family: Transfer RNA (tRNA) molecules are approximately 80 nucleotides in length. RNAcentral also lists the same sequence under 1 other name. Lineage: Eukaryota; Metazoa; Chordata; Mammalia; Artiodactyla; Camelidae. The record is from Rfam by way of RNAcentral.